This 253-nucleotide ribosomal RNA is filed under the name uncultured bacterium. RNAcentral's name for it is "partial 16S ribosomal RNA". It matches the Rfam family "Bacterial small subunit ribosomal RNA", at positions 524 to 776 of the family's 1533-position model. The record is from RNAcentral.
UACAGAGGGGGCAAGCGUUGUUCGGAAUUACUGGGCGUAAAGGGCGCGUAGGCGGCCUGUUAAGUCAGACGUGAAAUCCCUCGGCUCAACCGGGGAACUGCGUCUGAUACUGGCGGGCUUGGAUUCGGGAGAGGGAUGUGGAAUUCCAGGUGUAGCGGUGAAAUGCGUAGAUAUCUGGAGGAACACCGGUGGCGAAGGCGGCAUCCUGGACCGACAUUGACGCUGAGGCGCGAAAGCCAGGGGAGCAAACGGG